UGCGUAGGCGGCUUCUUAAGUCGGAUGUGAAAUCCCUGAGCUUAACUUAGGAAUUGCAUUCGAUACUGGGAAGCUAGAGUAUGGGAGAGGAUGGUAGAAUUCCAGGUGUAGCGGUGAAAUGCGUAGAGAUGUGGAGGAAUACCGAUGGCGAAGGCAGCCAUCUGGCCUAUAACUGACGCUGAGGCGCGAAAGCGUGGGGAGCAAACAGGAUUAGAUACCCCCGUA
Molecule: ribosomal RNA, 225 nt
Filed under: uncultured Acinetobacter sp.
Lineage: Bacteria; Pseudomonadati; Pseudomonadota; Gammaproteobacteria; Moraxellales; Moraxellaceae
Description: partial 16S ribosomal RNA
Rfam family: Bacterial small subunit ribosomal RNA
Source: RNAcentral